GAUGAACGCUGGCGGCGUGCCUAAUACAUGCUAGUCGAGCGAACAGACGAGGAGCUUGCUCCUCUGACGUUAGCGGCGGACGGGUGAGUAACACGUGGAUAACCUACCUAUAAGACUGGGAUAACUUCGGGAAACCGGAGCUAAUACCGGAUAAUAUAUUGAACCGCAUGGUUCAAUAGUGAAAGACGGUUUUGCUGUCACUUAUAGAUGGAUCCGCGCCGCAUUAGCUAGUUGGUAAGGUAACGGCUUACCAAGGCGACGAUGCGUAGCCGACCUGAGAGGGUGAUCGGCCACACUGGAACUGAGACACGGUCCAGACUCCUAUGGGAGGCAGCAGUAGGGAAUCUUCCGCAAUGGGCGAAAGCCUGACGGAGCAACGCCGCGUGAGUGAUGAAGGUCUUCGGAUCGUAAAACUCUGUUAUUAGGGAAGAACAAAUGUGUAAGUAACUAUGCACGUCUUGACGGUACCUAAUCAGAAAGCCACGGCUAACUACGUG
Molecule: ribosomal RNA, 497 nt
Filed under: uncultured bacterium
Lineage: Bacteria
Description: partial 16S ribosomal RNA
Rfam family: Bacterial small subunit ribosomal RNA
Source: RNAcentral